Molecule: non-coding RNA, 27 nt
Filed under: Mus musculus (house mouse)
Lineage: Eukaryota; Metazoa; Chordata; Mammalia; Rodentia; Muridae
Source: RNAcentral
UGACAAAUAACUCAGCAGGGAUGUGAA